UACGAAGGGGGCUAGCGUUGCUCGGAAUUACUGGGCGUAAAGCGCACGUAGGCGGAUCUUUAAGUCAGGGGUGAAAUCCUGGAGCUCAACUCCAGAACUGCCUUUGAUACUGGCGAUCUCGAGUCCGGGAGAGGUGAGUGGAACUGCGAGUGUAGAGGUGAAAUUCGUAGAUAUUCGCAAGAACACCAGUGGCGAAGGCGGCUCACUGGCCCGGUACUGACGCUGAGGUGCGAAAGCGUGGGGAGCAAACAGG
Molecule: ribosomal RNA, 253 nt
Filed under: uncultured bacterium
Lineage: Bacteria
Description: partial 16S ribosomal RNA
Rfam family: Bacterial small subunit ribosomal RNA
Source: RNAcentral